GCCUGCCACAGAUGGCAGAACGUGGGUCUGAAAGUCAGGGAAACAGCCGACCUAGUUUAGUAGUCCUACUUGGUGAGAAGUGAGAGAAUAUGCAUUAUCCACCGUCGAAUGUCAAAGCAUGGUAUAAGGGAUCCCAGGAUCUCAUCCAAAUUCUGGGUUCAGAAUGAUGCAAGGACGUCUCAGGUUCCGACGUACAAAGGUUCAGAGACUUCGUGUGCAAGAAUCCAUGCCACGUCUGGAUCCACCGGGAAUUGUCCGCACACUACAACUACAAACUGUUCGCCGUAGAUGAUAUUCUGUGCCAGCCCCCAACAGUCAAAGGCAUAGCUAUGGCAACCAUAAAGUCAUAAAUUAAAGCUCUAUAUUGGGGGACUCAGAAGGAAGUACAAAAAUAAAUUAAGACCAUAUUUUUUUCACCCAUUUUGGAAAGAUAAACCCAUAUACAGUAUAAUAUAGACUAUUUUAAAUUAAGUUGAAAUAUUUCAUGCUUUUAUUAUUUAUUACACACUAGGAAUCUAAUUCAUUUAGAUUUGGAGUGCUUUCGCUGCCAGCCUCUCCCAGUCAAAAAUUGAUUGGAUGUCAAGCGCUGUCAAUGGCAGCCAAUGAGUUAAAUGUUGAUGUUUAUGGCUUGCAAAAAUAAGAAACCCUAAAAUUUUAUGUCUCAGAAUUACGAAAAAAAAAAAAUUCUGGGCCCUGCAACACAUUGUCUGUUAUUGCAGAAAUGUUGGUAUAGUUUUAGUUGCCACUUCUGGGAGAUGAUUGAAUGAAAUUUUACCCAUCAAAAUCAAAUUAUGAGGUGUGGCACGCCCUCUUUGCUUGUUGGCUCUUUGAAAAUGGCUUAACAAGUUAAACUUCAAAAGGGAUAAUGUAAAGUGCACAUUUCUAAUCAAAAACAUAACAUUAAAAAAAAAAAAAACAAUAAAAGCAUGAAAUAUCCCUGACCAAAAAAGUUAAAUAAAAUUAUAUAAAUGCGAACACUUUCACAGUCUAGGGCUAGGCACAUACAGUUGAGGCUAAUCAAUAACUAAAUUUGCCAUAUACGAUGUGUGCAUGUUUAGUUAUAUUUUAGGACUAGUUGGUUCAACUUUAAAUUACAUAUUUGCAGUUUUAUGUGAUGGUCCACAUGGUUAUCAUCCCCAUGUCGAUGUCAGUCCCAGAAGUGCAGCUGCGACAGGCCUCGACUCCUGAAGAAAUUCAGCAGAUGUCAGAAUUUUCUAAUGUAUUGAAUGUCUACAACGAGACUAUCCAUCCUGCGUCAAAUAUUUGGACUUGUUUUAAAUGACAGCAUAGAAUGUUGGUUGUCGUUGAUGUGACAGUACCUCAAUAAUGUGAAGAAAUAAUAAAGGCAAUGAUUGUUUUUCUGCAAAGUAAUAUUUUAUUGAUGACCAGUGUAAUACAAUACAAAUGAUAAACAGGCAAUUGAUGUACAAAAAAGGACUUCCAGCACAACUAACUCGUUCAUCAAAAAAAUUGUCCACUGGACACCAACAUGAGCCACUUAAGGUCAGUAACUUUUUCCCAUAAUACUGGCCAACUGCUCACCAUCAGCAUUCCCUGAAAUGUAAAUUUAUUGCGUCUUCGGGGAGCUUUAGGGUAAAAAAAAAAAAAAAAAGCACGUAGAUAAGUGAGGACGAGAGAUGUCUUAUUGUUGAGGAACGACACCCCAACCUUCCUCAGA
This is a long non-coding RNA of Corythoichthys intestinalis (scribbled pipefish), 1678 nucleotides long. RefSeq lists it as uncharacterized. The transcript has 3 exons. The record is from RefSeq and is a predicted model, not a curated record. NCBI's taxonomy places the organism in Eukaryota, Metazoa, Chordata, Actinopteri, Syngnathiformes, Syngnathidae.